UGGGGAAUUUUGGACAAUGGGCGAAAGCCUGAUCCAGCAAUGCCGCGUGUGUGAAGAAGGCCUUCGGGUUGUAAAGCACUUUUGUCCGGAAAGAAAUCCUUGGCUCUAAUACAGUCGGGGGAUGACGGUACCGGAAGAAUAAGCACCGGCUAACUACGUGCCAGCAGCCGCGGUAAUACGUAGGGUGCAAGCGUUAAUCGGAAUUACUGGGCGUAAAGCGUGCGCAGGCGGUUUGCUAAGACCGAUGUGAAAUCCCCGGGCUCAACCUGGGAACUGCAUUGGUGACUGGCAGGCUAGAGUAUGGCAGAGGGGGGUAGAAUUCCACGUGUAGCAGUGAAAUGCGUAGAGAUGUGGAGGAAUACCGAUGGCGAAGGCAGCCCCCUGGGCCAAUACUGACGCUCAUGCACGAAAGCGUGGGGAGCAAAACAGGAUUAGAUACCCUGGUAGUCCACGCCCUAAACGAUGUCAACUAGUUGUUGGGGAUUCAUUUCCUUAGUAACGUAGCUAACGCGUGAAGUUGACCGCCUGGGGAGUACGGUCGCAAGAUUAAAACUCAAAUAAUUGACGGGGUCAUAGCUGUUUCCU
This 585-nucleotide ribosomal RNA is filed under the name uncultured bacterium. Its description in RNAcentral is "partial 16S ribosomal RNA". It matches the Rfam family "Bacterial small subunit ribosomal RNA", at positions 355 to 1375 of the family's 1533-position model. The record is from RNAcentral.